AAUCUCAGUUCAGACUGCAGGCUGCAACUCGCCUGCACGAAGUCGGAAUUGCUAGUAAUCGUAGGUCAGCAUACUACGGUGAAUACGUUCCCGGGCCUUGUACACACCGCCCGUCAAACCAUGAGAGUUGGCAACACCCGAAGUCGGUAGUCUAACCGCAAGGAGGGCGCCGCCGAAGGUGGGGUUGAUGAUUAGGGUUAAGUCGUAACAAGGUACC
This 217-nucleotide ribosomal RNA is filed under the name uncultured bacterium. RNAcentral's name for it is "partial 16S ribosomal RNA". It matches the Rfam family "Bacterial small subunit ribosomal RNA", at positions 1284 to 1500 of the family's 1533-position model. The record is from RNAcentral.